UGGUUCCAGCAUCGAUGAAGAACGCAGCGAAAUGCGAUAAGUAAUGUGAAUUGCAGAAUUCCGUGAAUCAUCGAGUCUUUGAACGCACAUUGCACUCCUUGGUAUUCCGAGGAGUACGCCUGUUCGAGCGUCAUUAACUAUCAAGUUUUACUUGGAUUCAAUUUUGCACUGCAAUUUUGUAAUAAUAUUGGCAAUGAACCAUUGAUGACUCUAGGUUCAUUUUAAUGACUAGUUGACCUCGGAUCAGGCGGGGAUACCCGCUGA
Molecule: unclassified non-coding RNA, 264 nt
Filed under: uncultured fungus
Lineage: Eukaryota; Fungi
Description: partial contains 5.8S ribosomal RNA and internal transcribed spacer 2
Rfam family: 5.8S ribosomal RNA (bases 1-133)
About the family: 5.8S ribosomal RNA (5.8S rRNA) is a component of the large subunit of the eukaryotic ribosome. It is transcribed by RNA polymerase I as part of the 45S precursor that also contains 18S and 28S rRNA.
Source: RNAcentral